RNAcentral lists this ribosomal RNA (424 nucleotides) under uncultured bacterium. Its description in RNAcentral is "partial 16S ribosomal RNA". It matches the Rfam family "Bacterial small subunit ribosomal RNA", at positions 360 to 776 of the family's 1533-position model. The record is from RNAcentral.
AAUUUUGGACAAUGGGCGCAAGCCUGAUCCAGCCAUGCAGCGUGAGUGAAGAAGGCCUUUGGGUUGUAAAGCUCUUUCGUACGGAAAGAAAUCGCGCAGGCUAAUACCCUGCGCGGAUGACGGUACGCGCAUAAUAAGCACCGCCUACCUACGUGCCAGCAUCCGCGGUAAUUCGUAGGGUGCGAGCGUUUAUCGGAAUUACGGGGCGUAAAGCGUGCGCAGGCGGUUGACUAAGACAGGCGUGAAAUCCCCGGGCUUAACCUGGGAACUGCGCUUGUGACUGGUCAGCUAGAGUACGGCAGAGGGGGGUGGAAUUCCACGUGUAGCAGUGAAAUGCGUAGAGAUGUGGAGGAACACCGAUGGCGAAGGCAGCCCCCUGGGCCGAUACUGACGCGCAUGCACGAAAGCGUGGGUAGCAAACAGG